RNAcentral lists this unclassified non-coding RNA (383 nucleotides) under fungal sp. RNAcentral's name for it is "partial internal transcribed spacer region". The stretch from base 1 to 46 matches the Rfam family "Eukaryotic small subunit ribosomal RNA", at positions 1786 to 1831 of the family's 1831-position model. Lineage: Eukaryota; Fungi. The record is from RNAcentral.
AAGUCGUAACAAGGUUUCCGUAGGUGAACCUGCGGAAGGAUCAUUAACAAUUCGAUGGCUUGGUGUCUCACAAAGGACUUUCAAAAGUCUCGAGUGUCUCCAAGUUUUCACCCCAAAAAACCUGUUAUCGAAGUCGCCUUUCAAAAAGGUGAUUCUGAUAACACUAAGCAACUUGGAAGGCUUUGAUCUUUGAUCUUAUCUUUCCUUUCUUUGUGUUUGAUGAUUAGUGGCCACAGAACUUCGGUUUUGUUUUCUCUAUGAUUCGAGCACGUUAAAUCUCCCUUUUAUUUUAAAACACCCAAUUACAAAUUGUUAUAGACUAACAUGAGCAAAUGAUAUACAAACGCUAAAAACAACUCUUAGCAACGGAUAUCUAGGCUCUC